AUGCCCAUUGGUGUUCCAAAAGUACCUUACCGGAUUCCUGGAGAUGAAGAAGCGACUUGGGUUGACUUAUACAAUGUUAUGUAUCGAGAAAGGACACUUUUUUUAGGUCAAGAGAUUCGUUGCGAGAUCACGAAUCAUAUUACAGGUCUCAUGGUAUAUCUGAGUAUAGAAGAUGGAAUUAGUGAUAUUUUUUUGUUUAUAAACUCCCCAGGCGGGUGGCUAAUCUCAGGAAUGGCUAUUUUUGAUACGAUGCAAACGGUGACACCAGAUAUAUAUACAAUAUGCCUCGGAAUAGCCGCCUCCAUGGCGUCCUUCAUUCUGCUUGGAGGAGAACCCACCAAGCGUUGCCGUCGGUGGCAGACGGCAAAGAGCCUGCAUAUUGGCUCUUUUUUCUGUUUUUUAUUAAAUCCAACAAUUUUCAUCACAAAUAUAUAUGACAUAUAUAGAUAUAUUUCACAACAAACAUAUAAGAUAUAUAUGAUAUAUAUGACAACAAUUUUCACAGCAAACAUAUAA
Molecule: ribosomal RNA, 516 nt
Filed under: Triticum aestivum (bread wheat)
Lineage: Eukaryota; Viridiplantae; Streptophyta; Magnoliopsida; Poales; Poaceae
Description: partial small subunit ribosomal RNA
Source: RNAcentral